ACUCCUACGGGAGGCAGCAGUGGGGAAUCUUCCGCAAUGGGCGAAAGCCUGACGGAGCAACGCCGCGUGAGUGACGAAGGCCCUUGGGUCGUAAAACUCUGUCUUCAGGGAAGAAAAAAAUGACGGUACCUGAGGAGGAAGCCCCGGCUAACUACGUGCCAGCAGCCGCGGUAAAACGUAGGGGGCGAGCGUUGUCCGGAAUUACUGGGCGUAAAGGGCGUGUAGGCGGUUCGCGAAGUCAGGAGUGAAAACUCGGGGCUCAACCUCGAGAUUGCUUUUGAAACCAGCGGGCUUGAGUGCAGGAGAGGAAAGUGGAAUUCCCAGUGUAGCGGUGAAAUGCGCAGAUAUUGGGAGGAACACCAGUGGCGAAAGCGGCUUUCUGGCCUGUAACUGACGCUGAG
Molecule: ribosomal RNA, 401 nt
Filed under: uncultured bacterium
Lineage: Bacteria
Description: bacterial SSU rRNA
Rfam family: Bacterial small subunit ribosomal RNA
Source: RNAcentral